RNAcentral lists this unclassified non-coding RNA (254 nucleotides) under Absconditella sp. RNAcentral describes it as "partial contains small subunit ribosomal RNA, internal transcribed spacer 1, and 5.8S ribosomal RNA". The stretch from base 1 to 46 matches the Rfam family "Eukaryotic small subunit ribosomal RNA", at positions 1786 to 1831 of the family's 1831-position model. The record is from RNAcentral. Lineage: Eukaryota; Fungi; Ascomycota; Lecanoromycetes; Ostropales; Stictidaceae.
AAGUCGUAACAAGGUUUCCGUAGGUGAACCUGCGGAAGGAUCAUUAUCGAGAACGGGUCUACUCGGCCCAACCUCCAACCCCCUGUUUAACCACUCUUGUUGCUUUGGCGGGUCGCGGUAAAAACUUGUUUUUGCCCCGCUGGCUCCGGCCGGCGUGCACCCGUCAGAGACCCACAAACUCUUAAACUUUUUUACGUCUGAAUCAUAAAAUAUAAAUAAGCACAAAACUUUCAACAACGGAUCUCUUGGUUCUG